CCUACGGGUGGCAGCAGUGGGGAAUAUUGGGCAAUGGGCGCAAGCCUGACCCAGCAACGCCGCGUGAAGGAAGAAGGCCUUCGGGUUGUAAACUUCUUUUCUCAGGGACGAAGAAAGUGACGGUACCUGAGGAAUACGCCACGGCUAACUACGUGCCAGCAGCCGCGGUAAUACGUAGGUGGCAAGCGUUAUGCGGAUUUAUUGGGUGUAAAGGGCGUGUAGGCGGGAGCGCAAGUCAGAUGUGAAAACUCAGGGCUCAACCCUGAGCCUGCAAUUGAAACUGUGUUUCUUGAGUGCAGGGGAGGCAAUCGGAAUUCCGUGUGUAGCGGUGAAAUGCGUAGAUAUACGGAGGAACACCAGUGGCGAAGGCGGAUUGCUGGACUGUAACUGACGCUGAGGCGCGAAAGCGUGGGGAGCAAACAGGAUUAGAUACCCGUGUGGUC
This 443-nucleotide ribosomal RNA is filed under the name uncultured bacterium. RNAcentral describes it as "partial 16S ribosomal RNA". It matches the Rfam family "Bacterial small subunit ribosomal RNA", at positions 338 to 795 of the family's 1533-position model. The record is from RNAcentral.